AUUGAACGCUGGCGGCAGGCCUAACACAUGCAAGUCGCACGAGUGGCGGACGGGUGAGUAAUGUCUGGGAAACUGCCUGAUGGAGGGGGAUAACUACUGGAAACGGUAGCUAAUACCGCAUACCAUCAGAUGUGCCCAGAUGGGAUUAGCUUGUUGGUGGGGUAACGGCUCACCCAGGCGACGAGCCCUAGCUGGUCUGAGUGGAUGAACAGCCACACGGGAACUGAGACACGGUCCAGACUCCUACGGGAGGAAGCAGGGGGGAAUAUUGCACAAUGGGCGCAAGCCUGAUGCAGCCAUGCAGCGUGUAUGAAGAAGGCCUUCGGGUUGUAAAGUACUAUCAGCGGGGAGGCGUUACCCGCAGAAGAAGCACCGGCUAACUCCGUGCCAGCCGCCGCGGUAAUAC
This 406-nucleotide ribosomal RNA is filed under the name uncultured bacterium. Its description in RNAcentral is "partial 16S ribosomal RNA". It matches the Rfam family "Bacterial small subunit ribosomal RNA", at positions 30 to 526 of the family's 1533-position model. The record is from RNAcentral.